Molecule: ribosomal RNA, 469 nt
Filed under: uncultured bacterium
Lineage: Bacteria
Description: partial 16S ribosomal RNA
Rfam family: Bacterial small subunit ribosomal RNA
Source: RNAcentral
GACGAACGCUGGCGGCGUGCUUAACACAUGCAAGUCGAACGGAAAGGCCCUGCUUUUGUGGGGUGCUCGAGUGGCGAACGGGUGAGUAACACGUGAGUAACCUGCCCUUGACUUUGGGAUAACUUCAGGAAACUGGGGCUAAUACCGGAUAGGAGCUCCUGCUGCAUGGUGGGGGUUGGAAAGUUUCGGCGGUUGGGGAUGGACUCGCGGCUUAUCAGCUUGUUGGUGGGGUAGUGGCUUACCAAGGCUUUGACGGGUAGCCGGCCUGAGAGGGUGACCGGCCAAAUUGGGGCUGAGAUACGGCCCAGACUCCUACGGGAGGCAGCAGUGGGGAAAAUUGCACAAUGGGCGGAAGCCUGAUGCAGCAACGCCGCGUGCGGGAUGACGGCCUUCGGGUUGUAAACCGCUUUCGCCUGUGACGAAGCGUGAGUGACGGUAAAUGGUAAAGAAGCACCGGCUAACUACGUGC